Molecule: ribosomal RNA, 497 nt
Filed under: uncultured bacterium
Lineage: Bacteria
Description: partial 16S ribosomal RNA
Rfam family: Bacterial small subunit ribosomal RNA
Source: RNAcentral
GAUGAACGCUGGCGGCGUGCCUAAUACAUGCAAGUCGAGCGAACAGACGAGGCGCUUGCUCCUCUGACGUUAGCGGCGGACGGGUGAGUAACACGUGGAUAACCUACCUAUAAGACUGGGAUAACUUCGGGAAACCGGAGCUAAUACCGGAUAAUAUAUUGAACCGCAUGGUUCAAUAGUGAAAGACGGUUUUGCUGUCUCUAAUAGAUGGAUCCGCGCCGCAUUAGCUAGUUGGUAAGGUAACGGCUUACCAAGGCAACGAUGCGUAGCCGACCUGAGAGGGUGAUCGGCCACACUGGAACUGAGACACGGUCCAGACUCCUACGGGAGGCAGCAGUAGGGAAUCUUCCGCAAUGGGCGAAAGCCUGACGGAGCAACGCCGCGUGAGUGAUGAAGGUCUUCGGAUCGUAAAACUCUGUUAUUAGGGAAGAACAAAUGUGUAAGUAACUAUGCACGUCUUGACGGUACCUAAUCAGAAAGCCACGGCUAACUACGUG